This 761-nucleotide ribosomal RNA is filed under the name Prevotella melaninogenica. RNAcentral's name for it is "bacterial SSU rRNA". It matches the Rfam family "Bacterial small subunit ribosomal RNA", at positions 28 to 776 of the family's 1533-position model. The record is from RNAcentral. Lineage: Bacteria; Pseudomonadati; Bacteroidota; Bacteroidia; Bacteroidales; Prevotellaceae.
GAUGAACGCUAGCUACAGGCUUAACACAUGCAAGUCGAGGGGAAACGGCAUUUAGUGCUUGCACCGAAUGGACGUCGACCGGCGCACGGGUGAGUAACGCGUAUCCAACCUACCCAUUACUGUGGGAUAACCUGCCGAAAGGCAGACCAAUACCGCAUAGUCUUCGAUGACGGCAUCAGAUUUGAAGUAAAGAUUUAUCGGUAAUGGAUGGGGAUGCGUCUGAUUAGCUUGUUGGCGGGGUAACGGCCCACCAAGGCAACGAUCAGUAGGGGUUCUGAGAGGAAGGUCCCCCACAUUGGAACUGAGACACGGUCCAAACUCCUACGGGAGGCAGCAGUGAGGAAUAUUGGUCAAUGGGCGCGAGCCUGAACCAGCCAAGUAGCGUGCAGGAUGACGGCCCUAUGGGUUGUAAACUGCUUUUGUAUGGGGAUAAAGUCAAUCACGUGUGAUUGUUUGCAGGUACCAUACGAAUAAGGACCGGCUAAUUCCGUGCCAGCAGCCGCGGUAAUACGGAAGGUCCGGGCGUUAUCCGGAUUUAUUGGGUUUAAAGGGAGCGUAGGCCGGAGAUUAAGUGUGUUGUGAGAUGUAGACGCUCAACGUCUGACUUGCAGCGCAUACUGGUUUCCUUGAGUACGCACAACGUUGGCGGAAUUCGUCGUGUAGCGGUGAAAUGCUUAGAUAUGACGAAGAACUCCGAUUGCGAAGGCAGCUGACGGGAGCGCAACUGACGCUUAAGCUCGAAGGUGCGGGUAUCGAACAGG